This 253-nucleotide ribosomal RNA is filed under the name uncultured bacterium. RNAcentral describes it as "partial 16S ribosomal RNA". It matches the Rfam family "Bacterial small subunit ribosomal RNA", at positions 524 to 776 of the family's 1533-position model. The record is from RNAcentral.
CACGUAGGGCGCAAGCGUUGUCCGGAAUUAUUGGGCGUAAAGAGCUCGUAGGCGGAUCUUUAAGUCAGGGGUGAAAUCCUGGAGCUCAACUCCAGAACUGCCUUUGAUACUGAGGAUCUUGAGUCCGGGAGAGGUGAGUGGAACUCCGAGUGUAGAGGUGAAAUUCGUAGAUAUUCGGAAGAACACCAGUGGCGAAGGCGGCUCACUGGCCCGGUACUGGCGCUGAGGUGCGAAAGCGUGGGGAGCAAACAGG